Long non-coding RNA from Pectinophora gossypiella (pink bollworm), 878 nucleotides. RefSeq lists it as uncharacterized. Lineage: Eukaryota; Metazoa; Arthropoda; Insecta; Lepidoptera; Gelechiidae. The transcript is spliced from 3 exons. The record is from RefSeq and is a predicted model, not a curated record.
CAAAUUCGACCACCGCGACUCACACACGCUCUGUCAACAUUUAUGACACGAUGUCUAACAUCAAAAUCACUUUUCUCUAUCAUCAAAACGUUUUCACUACUCAUUUUUAAUCGCGUUCGAAUUUUAAAUAUUUUUCUUUUUUUAAUAGUGAGUGUCAUUCUAUUCUCGGAUAAAAAUUGCGUAGUUUUUUGUGACCGUUUUCAAUGUGCUGUUAAGAUGUUCAGUUUUAUGAGUUACGAGGUUUUGGCAGAGGGUUUGGCGAUCCCAACACGUGUUGAGGCUGCGACCCUAAAGUCAAAGAUCCUACGACCCGGAUUAUGUAGUAUGUCGAACUGAAGAGCAGAAAACAAAACUGACUCGACGUAGCGCCUAACAACAAUAGUUUAAUAAGUCACAAAAACGUCUUAAUAAUAUAAGUUCACGACUAUAUCCCAAUGGGGUAGUCAGAUGUACAUCCAUCACAAGAUGAACUCAGAACACUGUCUCUCAAGCAGGUCCCCUAGUUUGAGAGAUUACCUUCUGCUUUUAAAUACCGUCUAAAUUAUAUAAACUGUCAAUGUAAUUGUCAAUAAUAUGUACCUAAAUAGUUGUGUGUGGAACUAAAAAAAAAACUAUAUACCUACCUAGGUAGUUAUAGGUAUAGAAUUAUUGUAAUAUAACCGCGUAAGCGCGAAUAAUACUAAAUGUAUGAAAACAACCCGUUUUUUUUACAGGAAUUCUCAAUGAAGAACCCGUCUUCAGCGAUCAUUUUCUGCAUUUUACAUUGUGAUAAUGUUUUAUUACAUUGUUCUCACAUUUAGCAUGCAGAAACUUUGAAAGUCAUCAAAAUGGAAAAUUAUUAAAGACGCGUGCUCUGCCAUCUAUCGAGAAUAAUAGUU